GUUCAGGCCAUUAAGUUUAUUUAGAAAGCAAUUUCAGAACUGUUAGAACAAAAUUGGGAAAAUAUACUGACAAAAGUUUAAGAAUGUAAGCCCUGAAAGACAGAUUAAGUCACUAAAAAAACAACCUCUUCAGGCCUUUAUAUUGGCUAAGGUUGUUGUCUUCCACAGCAGCCCUGGCAUGGCAUCCAGUUCUAGAUACUGUGGUUUAAAUGAAUGUAAAUUGAAUACAGUUGAAAUGUCUUCCAUAUGAUUCUGCACAUCCUUGCAGCCUAGGAGAAAGCCAGCAAGGAGGGGACCAAAGGGAGGCAGGAGCAGGAGCAGUGGAAGGUGGUAAGAGGAUGUGAGGUGAUGGCAGACCCCAAGUGAGAGGUACCCCCACGCAGACUGGAGCAAUUACUGGUGCUAUGUGUAGGCAUCUCCCAACAGGCCUGGGUUGAGGAGAUUGUCCAGCACAGUGCAUUCGAGCAAGUGCCAGGAGCCACAGUCCUGUUUCCCGAUGGAGCUGUGGUCUGCUCACUACAUCAGCUCCUUGUACUGAGAACUAUGGUGGCCAUGUCACAACAGACAGCAAAUCAGUAGUGGCCACAUCACAGUGGGGUCUCUGACAUGGAUGGGACAGUAUAAAAAGGGCUGUGGUCUAGAGCAGGACCUGGUUUGGGAGGCAACCCAAAACAUACGUUGGUCUUUUCCCUCCUCAGUGUCUUGCUGGAGAUUUUGAAAACCUUACAUGAAACAGCAUUGAAUCAAGGAAAAAGAAAGGUGUAUGGUACCUGCCUGCAGACUGCAAAAGCCUUACAGAGUCCAAAAUUAGCAGUUCUAUGUGUAGUUGAGAGACAUUCUGUAAUCAGAAGAGGAAAGGUGGUGGAGGAGGAAAGCCAUUGCAGGAAUUGCAGCUCCUGGUGUAGCUGUGGUCACAGGGCCUUUCACAGAGACACAGAGAAAGUGAGGAAUCAGUCCUUCUCUCCCUGCACUUCUAGCAGUCAUGGGCACUGGAGAGCACAGCGACAUGUAACACCUAUAGUAGGAGUCAUUUUCAUUCUUCCUGGAUCCUAUGCUGCUCAAGAGGAAGUGGGAGGCAUUCUAAGACUCCUAAGACCCCUUAAGAAUGCGACAAGGAGACAAGAAGUUUUAAGGACAAAUUAGUAUGUUUAAUUCUGCACUGAAGGGAACAAUAUUCCUAGCCCCAUGGAUGAUCAAGAUUAUUUCCCAGAUCACACAAGAAUCAAGCCUGGGUGAGAUAAUGCAAUUCCUAGUAGCAAGUUCUUCCUUGUAUCACUUCCAAGGAAACACGAUUCAGCAUUGUGCUCAAGUGGGGGGCAUAGAGAAAAAAAUAAAACAAAACAAAAAAAACA
Anser brachyrhynchus (Pink-footed goose) is the source of this 1352-nucleotide long non-coding RNA. Lineage: Eukaryota; Metazoa; Chordata; Aves; Anseriformes; Anatidae. The record is from Ensembl.